AUGCACGUGAUGCCACGCCACGUCCUCCCUGUGCCUCCUGAGAGCCUGCUGCUGCCCUUCAGCCAAUGUAGCCUGACAAGUCGAUACACCUCCUUGCAUCUGCUCGCAGACCUUGCACUUUCCUCGGUCUUAUCUUUCCUAGGUAUCAGCAGCAGCAGUGAUAGCAGCUGUGUAUCCUAAGCCUGGGAUGAUGGAGCUGGUAAUUACAAUGAUUUUGAGAGGCAUCUUGCAGAAACCACAAAUGGGAAAGUCAGUAGAGGAUAUACCAGGAAAACGUGAUGUCCCAUGCAGGCCAAAAGAAAAGUGCAUCACUAAGACGAUAUAGCCAUUUCCCUAAAAUGGGAAUUGUCUGUCUGGUUUAGAAUAUAAUAGUCGUUUUUUUUUUUUUACCCUGUCAAGCAGUAUAUAAAGCCUGUGGAAAUGGUACCACAAAUACAGCAGAUAAACUGUGGGAAGUGACUAGCAAAGAUGGAUUUCCUUUGAGUGUUAAAUUACACUUAAACUCAAAAAAAAAAAGUCUUAACUGUGGGAAAAAAUAUAUUUUAGAGGGAACUGACUUGUGCUUUCAUCCUAGGUCAGCUGUGCAGUGUGGGUAGAAGAGAUUUGGCUCGGGGAAGACAUUUUUCUUCUCCUGGAGGAAAUCCGAUAAGUAUGGCAACAAAGAUUUUCUUUUUAAUGAAGUCCAGCUGUAAUAACCAAAAUUGCGUUUAACUUUUUAGUUCCAUCUGAUUCUUGGUGGUGUUCACCAUUGGAGGUAGUUUGGCUAAAUCACUCCUGGAUCCUAGUGUCAGAGUGAGGGAGCGUCAUCGACUCAUGUUUCUUGGCUAAAUGUGUUUGGUGCACCCUGACACUUUGCUAACAGCCAGGGUGCCUGUAGUUGAAAUGCUUUGAGAUGCUUUAGCACUGUUACAGAUUGUGAUACAGGUGAUAGGAGACCUACUUGCUUCGAGCAGUGAUCCAACUGAUUGUUUUGUUAUUCUUUGCGCUUACGUUCUGGUGUGGCCACAAUUUUGUGCAGAGUGUUUAAAACAAAACAGUGACAACAAAACAAAACAAAAACCAAGGGACCCAAAUCGUAAAGUACAUUUUAACAAUUAUAUUAGGGUGCACACAAAUGACAAGGUUUCAGUCUCUGCCUUGUUGCUCAGGAAAUCCCAAUAUCCUUAAUUAGCUCAUCUUU
Molecule: long non-coding RNA, 1180 nt
Filed under: Anser cygnoides (Swan goose)
Lineage: Eukaryota; Metazoa; Chordata; Aves; Anseriformes; Anatidae
Description: lncRNA (ENSACDG00005001752.1)
Source: RNAcentral